RNAcentral lists this ribosomal RNA (411 nucleotides) under uncultured bacterium. RNAcentral's name for it is "bacterial SSU rRNA". It matches the Rfam family "Bacterial small subunit ribosomal RNA", at positions 505 to 916 of the family's 1533-position model. The record is from RNAcentral.
GUGUCAGCCGCCGCGGUAAUACGUAGGGUGCAAGCGUUAAUCGGAAUUACUGGGCGUAAAGCGUGCGCAGGCGGUUCGGAAAGAAAGAUGUGAAAUCCCAGGGCUCAACCUUGGAACUGCAUUUUUAACUCCCGAACUAGAGUGUGUCAGAGGGGGGUGGAAUUCCACGUGUAGCAGUGAAAUGCGUAGAUAUGUGGAGGAACACCGAUGGCGAAGGCAGCCCCCUGGGAUAACACUGACGCUCAUGCACGAAAGCGUGGGGAGCAAACAGGAUUAGAUACCCUGGUAGUCCACGCCCUAAACGAUGUCAACUAGCUGUUGGGUUCUUCGGAGCUUGGUAGCGCAGCUAACGCGUGAAGUUGACCGCCUGGGGAGUACGGUCGCAAGAUUAAAACUUAAAGGAAUUGACGG